ACCCGCUGAACUUAAGCAUAUCAUUAAGGGGAGGAAAAGAAAAUAACAAUGAUUCCCCUAGUAACGGCGAGUGAAGCGGGAAGAGCUCAAGCUGAAAAUCUGGGAGCCUUGCGGUUCUCCGAAUUGUAGUCUAGAGACGCAACGUCAGUGUGUGACCUGGGUAUAAGUUCUUUGGAACAGGACAUCAAAGAGGGUGAGAAUCCCGUUUUUGACCCAGAGUUCACCGCGCACGACUUGUGUUCGAAGAGUCGAGCAGGUCGGGACUCCUACUCUAAAUGGGUGGUAAGAUUCAUCUAAAGCUAAAUAUUGGCGGGAGACCGAUAGCGAACAAGUACCGUGAGGGAAAGAUGAAAAGAACUUUGAAAAGAGAGUUAAAAAGUACUUGAAAUUGUUAAGAAGAAAGCAUUGGAAACCAGUUUUGCCCAGCAUAUUAGGGGACUCUGGCGCGCUGAGUGGCGGGUUUCCGUGUGGUUAAACCGCGGUGCUUGUCAGGAGGUAGCGUUUGAGGUUUAUUAGUGCGGGGUGGGUUAGCAUCUGUUUGGAGUUCGGGAGAAACCUUGGAGGAAGGUGGAGCGAGCCGUUCUGCGGUACUUUCUCUUUAUAGCCUUCAGGGUAUACCGGGUUCUGGACAGAGGAUUGAUAACACGCACCUCUUUUGGCUUGGUUCUUGUGGCCCGUAAUGUUUUUCCUUUUGGACUGAAAAUCAGUGCUUGGGGGACCGCGUUGCGCUGCUGUGAUGUUUCCAUAUGUGUGUUCGCGAUGCUGACGAAAUGGUUUUCAAUGACCCGUCUUGAAACACGGACCAAGGAGUCUAACAUUUAUGCGAGUAUUUGGGUGGAAAACCCUGAUGCGAAAUGAAAGUAAAGGAGGCUUGUCCUCUGAGGUAGGAAACCUUCACGGGUGGCACUAUCGACCGAUCGUUCGCUUGCGAAAGAUUUGAGUAAGAGCAUAACUGUUGGGACCCGAAAGAUGGUGAUCUAUGCCUGAGCAGGGUGAAGGCAGGGGAAACUCUGGUGGAGGCUCGCAGCGAUACUGACGUGCAAAUCGUUCGUCAAACUUAGGUAUAGGGGCGAAAGACUAAUCGAACCAUCUAGUAGCUGGUUCCCUCCGAAGUUUCCCUCAGGAAAGG
RNAcentral lists this ribosomal RNA (1129 nucleotides) under uncultured eukaryote. RNAcentral describes it as "eukaryotic LSU rRNA". It matches the Rfam family "Eukaryotic large subunit ribosomal RNA", at positions 23 to 982 of the family's 3401-position model. The record is from RNAcentral.